RNAcentral lists this transfer RNA (76 nucleotides) under Acidothermus cellulolyticus 11B. RNAcentral's name for it is "tRNA-Pro-TGG-1-1". It matches the Rfam family "tRNA". Rfam says of the family: Transfer RNA (tRNA) molecules are approximately 80 nucleotides in length. Their secondary structure includes four short double-helical elements and three loops (D, anti-codon, and T loops). Lineage: Bacteria; Bacillati; Actinomycetota; Actinomycetes; Acidothermales; Acidothermaceae. The record is from RNAcentral.
CGGGGCGUAGCGUAGUGGCCAGCGCGCCUGCUUUGGGAGCAGGAGAUCGGGAGUUCGAGUCUCCCCGCCCCGACGA